This 271-nucleotide long non-coding RNA is filed under the name Setaria viridis. RNAcentral's name for it is "long non-coding RNA (SVIR_LNC007193)". Lineage: Eukaryota; Viridiplantae; Streptophyta; Magnoliopsida; Poales; Poaceae. The record is from RNAcentral.
AUGAGAGUGAUUCAGAGUAUCAACUAGAAGAGGAGGAAGAGUCUGGUUCAGAAGGAAAAGGAGAUGAUCAAGCUAUUUUUUGUUCCAAUAGCUAUUUUGAGUCCUUCUAAACUUGUAGAUACUAGUAGAAAGAUGCAAGCUGGUAACAAAAAGAUUCACGCAGAAUACAGUGGUACCAGUUCUUGGGAGGUUGAAGACUUAGCAAAUUCAGAAGAUGAGGAGGCCAAGCAGUAUAGAAGAAAUGCCAAUAUAGUGAACAAAGGGAUCAAAG